Molecule: long non-coding RNA, 1156 nt
Organism: Gasterosteus aculeatus aculeatus (three-spined stickleback)
Lineage: Eukaryota; Metazoa; Chordata; Actinopteri; Perciformes; Gasterosteidae
Source: Ensembl
UCCUCCCAACGCGCAGCAGACGGGACGAACUGAAGUGAUGAGGGACGGGGGCCGUAGAUCAUCGGCCCGGUUUUGAGUCAGCGGGAGAGUGAAGCGCUUCGAUUGGUGCGUCCGAGUCGCAGCUGAACGACUAAGGAGACGUAAACCCCCCCUCGGACGUUUCUUCUCAAAGGCAUCCGCCCAAGGGAACUGGUUUCAGAUGGUGUCUUAGAGUACAAACCCCUGUCUAGCACCAUUUGAAAUCGGUGGUCUUGGGCGGGAACAGGCUCCGGGAAUCACAUCAGCGGACGGCUGCAUUUACCCCGGAUGCAUCGGGAAUCCUUCCCUCACAAAGUAGUCCUCAGUGUCGUUUGCUGUGGAUCUCAGGUCGGGCCCCCCGGGGGGGCCAGAGGGACCGAAGGCGCCGGGGCGGCUUCUCGCACAGGCUGACCGCUUUCGUGUGGUGUUCAGAGUUCCCAACACGUCUAGCACCAUUCGAAAUCGGUUACUAUGUGCAGGGACUUCCAGCAGAGCAGGGUGAGCUGCCUCAGAGGACCAGAAGGUGGCAGCAGUGAGCUGGUGUCAUUUUGUCGAUAUCAUUUUACCGAGGGCUCUUAAGAUAUCACACGUUUAUUAAAUCAGAAUAUUAAAAACAACUUUCAUCGUGUUAUUGUAUAAAUUAGGCUCUGAAUGAUAUUUGAACAACCUCCUUGGCAGAAACAUGAUUUGACUGAAACUGUAAACCUUUGUGUAUUUAAUGGUUCCUGAAGGGGAGAUUUGUAGCUUGGAAUAUUAAAAAAAAAGGUAUUAAAAUAGUUUUGAGGACACUACAGGGGAAUAAGGUAAUAUAGGCUAAUAGAUAUAAUAAAACCUCCGCAGUUGAUUAUAGACAUUAAGCCAAUGUUUUUUUUGUGGUACAACCUUUCUGAAAUAUAAAGUUUAAAUAUGCAAAUGGGAAUCUAUUAGUAACUCAUGGUCAAUUUAGGGGGAAUCUACCGACAUGAAAGGAUAUAGUGGUAAAAUAAAGACCUAAAUGUCUAUUUUGUAUGCUUAAAUAAAAAUGGGUUAUUUCUCUAUAAUGUGUUUUUUGUGUUAUUACAUUGUCACUACAGGAAAAUUGACAUAAAAUAAUCCAAUUAUUAAUCUACACCCAAUUUAUUAUUGCACACAGUUGAGG